Molecule: ribosomal RNA, 866 nt
Filed under: uncultured bacterium
Lineage: Bacteria
Description: bacterial SSU rRNA
Rfam family: Bacterial small subunit ribosomal RNA
Source: RNAcentral
UUGAAACUGCAUGGCUGGCGUGAGUGUGAGGUAGGCGGAAUGCGUUGUGUAGCGGUGAAAUGCAUAGAUAUGACGCAGAACUCCGAUUGCGAAGGCAGCUUACCAACACUUUACGGACGCUGAGGCACGAAAGCGUGGGUAUCGAACAGGAUUAGAUACCCUGGUAGUCCACGCAGUAAACGAUGAAUACUAAUUGUUCGGGGGGCAACCCCUGAGUGAUACAGCGAAAGCGUUAAGUAUUCCACCUGGGGAGUACGCCGGCAACGGUGAAACUCAAAGGAAUUGACGGGGGCCCGCACAAGCGGAGGAACAUGUGGUUUAAUUCGAUGAUACGCGAGGAACCUUACCCGGGCUCAAACGUUGGGGGAAUGACGGUGAAAGCCGUCAGCCAGCAAUGGUCGCCAACGAGGUGCUGCAUGGUUGUCGUCAGCUCGUGCCGUGAGGUGUCGGCUUAAGUGCCAUAACGAGCGCAACCCCUGCGUCCAGUUACCAUCAAGUCAUGUUGGGGACUCUGGACGGACUGCCGGCGCAAGCCGUGAGGAAGGCGGGGAUGACGUCAAAUCAGCACGGCCCUUACGUCCGGGGCGACACACGUGUUACAAUGGCGUGGAACAGCGGGAAGCCACCUGGCGACAGGGAGCGGACCCCUAAAACACGUCUCAGUUCGGAUUGGAGUCUGCAACUCGACUCCAUGAAGCUGGAUUCGCUAGUAAUCGCGCAUCAGCCAUGGCGCGGUGAAUACGUUCCCGGGCCUUGUACACACCGCCCGUCAAGCCACGGGAGCCGGGAGUGCCUGAAGUACGUAACCGGAAGGAGCGUCCAAGGGUAACACUGGUGACUGGGGCUAAGUCGUAACAAGGUAACCA